This 81-nucleotide small nuclear RNA is filed under the name Chinchilla lanigera (long-tailed chinchilla). RNAcentral describes it as "U4 spliceosomal RNA (ENSCLAG00000020544.1)". Lineage: Eukaryota; Metazoa; Chordata; Mammalia; Rodentia; Chinchillidae. The record is from RNAcentral.
AGCUUAGCACAGUGGCAGUAUCAUAGCCAAUGAGGUUUAUCCAAAGCACGAUUAUUGCUAAUCAAAUAAUUCUAUGAAUCA